This 278-nucleotide ribosomal RNA is filed under the name uncultured Bacteroides sp. RNAcentral's name for it is "partial 16S ribosomal RNA". It matches the Rfam family "Bacterial small subunit ribosomal RNA", at positions 511 to 788 of the family's 1533-position model. The record is from RNAcentral. Lineage: Bacteria; Pseudomonadati; Bacteroidota; Bacteroidia; Bacteroidales; Bacteroidaceae.
GCAGCCGCGGUAAUACGGAGGAUGCGAGCGUUAUCCGGAUUUAUUGGGUUUAAAGGGAGCGUAGACGGGAGAUUAAGUCAGCUGUGAAAGUUUGAGGCCCAACCUUAAAAUUGCAGUUGAUACUGGUUUCCUUGAGUGCGGUUGAGGUGUGUGGAAUUCGUGGUGUAGCGGUGAAAUGCUUAGAUAUCACGAAGAACUCCGAUUGCGAAGGCAGCACACUAAGCCGUAACUGACGUUGAGGCUCGAAAGUGUGGGUAUCAAACAGGAUUAGAUACCCC